GCACCUCCCCCAAAUUACCUUUGGCACUAUAACGUGCCUCUUACCUCUAGGAACCCCAGACAAUACAAAAGCCAGAUAACUGCAAAAUGUACUUUAUUAGAAAAUCAGGGGGAAUAGUGAGCACUGCCUCUAAUCUUCAGGAAAAUAAAUUUACAGUAAGUAAAAAUGUAUGCUCUUCCCUUCAGAUUAGAGGCAGUGCUUUACAACAG
Pelobates cultripes (western spadefoot toad) is the source of this 209-nucleotide non-coding RNA. Lineage: Eukaryota; Metazoa; Chordata; Amphibia; Anura; Pelobatidae. The record is from the annotation of a GenBank genome assembly.